This 546-nucleotide unclassified non-coding RNA is filed under the name Hevea brasiliensis (rubber tree). Lineage: Eukaryota; Viridiplantae; Streptophyta; Magnoliopsida; Malpighiales; Euphorbiaceae. The record is from RNAcentral.
GAGUUGAGUUGAGUUGAGUUAUCUGCAGCUCACAUGCAUUCCUGCAACAUCUCUCCAUUGUUUAGUACUUGUCAUUUGAUUCUGAAAAUUCCCUGGUUUUUGCCUUGCUAACAUGUUGAGCAUUGAGCAAUCUUUUCCAAGUUGCUGUUUUGGUUAUUUCCUGCACUAAGUUCUGGGCUUUUUCUUUGCUGUCUGUAUCCUAUUAAUUGUUUUUUUUUCCAAAUCCCUUUAACAUUCCCAAAGUGAUUGUUUUAUUUCAAUUUUUUUAAUUUACAAUUGUUCUUUUUUGUUUGUGGUUUCCUGUUUCGUUAAUGGGAAUAAGAGAUUGUGAAUGGGAAUCAUGCAUUCAAUUCUUCAUCUAUAUAACUUUGCUUAUUUGGUUGCCUGGAAUGUAAAUAAGAAAUUGGGAUGCCUUUAUUAGCUGAUAUUCAUUACGCUUGUGGGCUAUCAGGAAUAGGAAUAGCCAAACAGUCUAAUAGUUGUAAGUUGUGAAGGUCCUGUAGUCUAAUGCUAAUCCCCUUGAAAAAAAAAAAGAAAUAAAAAAUA